RNAcentral lists this long non-coding RNA (896 nucleotides) under Bos taurus (domestic cattle). Its description in RNAcentral is "long non-coding RNA NONBTAT014259". Lineage: Eukaryota; Metazoa; Chordata; Mammalia; Artiodactyla; Bovidae. The record is from RNAcentral.
AACACUCCAUUUUGUAUUUAUUUACAAGAUACUUUUGUUGAAAGUUAACAUGGAUGGUUUUUCCUAAACUAAAAUUUUCUCAUUACAAAAGAAAUUCGGUUGCAGAGAGCCAGCUGGAUUGAGUUAAAAGAAAGUGCCAGCUGCUUAAAUUUAAAAGUAUGUAGAAAUUGUUUCCUGAGGGAGUUCUCUCAAAACUUAGAAUGUUUUUUAUGUUGGUCAUUUCCAUUUCCCUUUCCAAAUGACCGAUACAAACAGCAACCCUACAGCAUUCACUAAGUAAUUUUCUUCAGCAACUUUCCCCCUUUGCUCCAAUUUGAGGUUUGGGGACUUAACAAAAAAAAAAAAAGGCCACUAAAAGGAUACUAACUUGCCCCAAAUAAAAUCUGUGAGUUAUAUACUGAAACAAAAAUGCCAAUUCAUAAAUGAACUUCAAAAAGAGGGGGGAAGUCACCUACAGCCUACUUUUUCUGGAAGGUAUAAUUUUGCUCUGGAAAUAAAGUGAAAUAUUCUCCAUCUCAUCUAGUCCCCAAACGAUGACUAGCACAAGAAGGUAAGUAUCAAUGUUUCCAGAAAUUUUCACUUCAAGACUAAGUACAUAUAUGUACUAAUAGAUAAGGCACUAAAUGGUCACAAUGCUUUAUGUAAGUCAGAGAACCAAGGAAAAACUAAAAAAAAAAAAAAAAAGGUAACAUUCUGCACAAGUACUUCAUGUGUUAAUCUGGGAAACAUUUUGGCUGUUGUCUUGUGUUCCAUCCAGGUAGUUAAAAGAACCGGGAUACAAAAUUAUGAAAAUACCAUAUUAUGAAUUUCUGCAGUCUCAAUUAAACAUUAAGUUGCAUAACAAAAUUAAGCAGUUAACUAGGUUUAUCAAGACAAAUUUUCAGUAUCUCUUCUCA